This 253-nucleotide ribosomal RNA is filed under the name uncultured bacterium. RNAcentral describes it as "partial 16S ribosomal RNA". It matches the Rfam family "Bacterial small subunit ribosomal RNA", at positions 524 to 776 of the family's 1533-position model. The record is from RNAcentral.
UACGUAGGGAGCAAGCGUUGUCCGGAAUCAUUGGGCGUAAAGCGCGCGUAGGCGGCUCGCUCAGUCUGUUGUGAAAGUCAAAGGCUCAACCUUUGAAUGCCGAUGGAUACUGUCGAGCUAGAGUCCGGAAGAGGCGGGUGGAAUUCCUGGUGUAGCGGUGGAAUGCGUAGAUAUCUGGAGGAACACCGGUGGCGAAGGCGGCAUCCUGGACCGACAUUGACGCUGAGGCGCGAAAGCCAGGGGAGCAAACGGG